UUUUUUUGAAAUUGUGAGCAUUUUGAUUACAAAAAAAAAGUUUUUUAAAAUAAUGUUAUGCGAACUGAUAUCUGGAACGUAUUAUAUAAAACGGGCAAGUGCGCGAAUAUAGUACAUGGUUAAAGUGUGUUUUUCAAGUGUUACGCUAUGAAAAAAAUUGAAAACCAACGUCCAGGAAAAAUUUGGAAUUCCGAAAUGCGCCGUUCAAAUGUAGAUUUCUUGGGAAGAUGUCCCCUGCGAUUGGAUGGACGAAGAAAACGGCGUCAAAUAUCUGGAAAAGGGUGAGUUUCUUUCACGCUAUGAUUCUAAAGGGAUGAAAUUUGAAGUUACUCCAAAUGCUUAAAAGGCAGCGUAUUAAUAUUGAAUGUAAAGGAAAAGUAGGAUAACCCGAUAUUCUGCGAGAUUUUUCAGAAAAUUUGUAAAAAGUAGCUUUAUUUGGAGAAUGGAAUGUAUGAGCUUUACAAAAUCACGUAUCCUUAGUAAUACGAUCUCCUACAAUAAAAUACAAUAAAAUUAAAAAAGUGAAGGAAAACUAAAAGAAAAAAAGCAUUAUUCGGCGGUUUCUCUGGGCAAUGUUGACUCUAGAACUACGAAACUAUAUAUAUAUCUAUCUUCUAUAUUUUAAUAUGAAAAUCAAGUAACACACGUCAACAACGUAUGUUAUAACAUUCAAAAUACAAAAUGAAACUAGUUCACUUGGGCUCUCAUAGCGCAACAGUUUUUUAAAGCAAGGUGAUGUUUUAUCUGGCAUAUUAUUAUAUUUUUGGACAUUUUUAGUAAAUAU
Dendroctonus ponderosae (mountain pine beetle) is the source of this 784-nucleotide long non-coding RNA. RefSeq lists it as uncharacterized. The transcript is spliced from 3 exons. The record is from RefSeq and is a predicted model, not a curated record. NCBI's taxonomy places the organism in Eukaryota, Metazoa, Arthropoda, Insecta, Coleoptera, Curculionidae.